This is a long non-coding RNA of Bos taurus (domestic cattle), 1067 nucleotides long. Lineage: Eukaryota; Metazoa; Chordata; Mammalia; Artiodactyla; Bovidae. The record is from Ensembl.
CCUUGCUGAGUUGCAGUCCAGCUGCAGAAGGCUCAGGGUGUGAUUAUCAGACUGGCUGUAAAUGGAACACACUGAGGCUUUGUUUGGGCUUGUGGGGAGUUUUUGGGACACUGCUGACAUUCAGAGGCUCCUUGAUUGCUCCAAGUCGGCAGAGUUGAGCAGAGCGUGAACGGAGAGCUGCCUGAAGCCCAAGGCGCCUCGCCAGAGCCUGUGGCGGGGGGAGGGCUUGCCGCUGGCAUCAGUGGGGGCCAGCUGGACCCCCACUCAGCCUCAGACUCAGGGUGGAACUAGGGGCUGUCGAUUUCAAGUUUCUAUUUUCAGGGAUUAAGAAGUCCCUUGGACAGCAAGGAGAUCAAACCAGUCAAUCCUAAAGGAAAUCAAUCCUGAAUAUUCACUGGAAGGACUGAUGUUGAAGCUGAAACUCCAAUACUUUGGUCACGUGAUGUGAAGAGCCGACUCAUUGGAAAAGACCUUGAUGCUGGGAAAGAUUGAAGGCAGAAGAAGGGGAUGACAGAGGGUGAGGUGGUUGGAUGGCAUCAUCAACUCCAUGGACAUGAGUUUGAGCAAAUCUGCACUAUCCAGGAGUUGGUGAUGGAUAGGGAAGCCUGGCGUACUGCACUCCAUGGGGUCCACAAAGAGUCAGACACAACUUAGUGACUGAACUGAACUAAACCAAGCUCACAGGACACCUUGAGGGGGAUGGCUGCCCUCAGGAGACAAGGCCUCCCUCCUAAGUAUCCCAGGCAGCUUCCUCCACCACCCAGCCCCACCUGACCCUCUCUGAACCCAGGCCUGUGGUUUGGCCCAUCUCCUCACCUGGCUCUGCACACACAUGGGUCCCAGAGACUCUGGCUUCUGGGUUUCUUUGAAGACAAUGUGCCUACUUAGAGCAGAUCAUUUUAAAGGUACAUUGCCUUAGAGAAACAGUGAUUUGAGUUUCCUCUACUGUGAACCUAGCAAGGGCUACGCUCUCUGCUGGACGUGUUCCUAUGUCGUAGGCUCGUCCAAGUUUUGUGUUGCUUCUCAUCUGUGAUCAAUUCAACAAAUGUGCAAUAAAUGACUAUCAC